AAUUGAUUAGUCUAAAAAAGACAUUUAUUUUGAAAAUAAAAAAUAAUUUAUAAUUUAAUUAUCAAUUU
This 68-nucleotide transfer RNA is filed under the name Kaestneriella sp. KaspPE. RNAcentral's name for it is "tRNA-Ser". The record is from RNAcentral. Lineage: Eukaryota; Metazoa; Arthropoda; Insecta; Psocodea; Peripsocidae.